This 700-nucleotide ribosomal RNA is filed under the name uncultured bacterium. Its description in RNAcentral is "bacterial SSU rRNA". It matches the Rfam family "Bacterial small subunit ribosomal RNA", at positions 53 to 746 of the family's 1533-position model. The record is from RNAcentral.
ACAUGCAAGUCGAGGGGUAACAUGGGGUAGCAAUACUCUGAUGACGACCGGCAAACGGGUGCGGAACACGUACGCAACUUUCCCAAAACUGGUGAAUAGCCCUCCGAAAGGAGGAUUAAUACACCGUAACAUAUAGAGGUGGCAUCGCCUUUAUAUUAUAGCUCCGGCGGUUUUGGAUGGGCGUGCGCCUGAUUAGGUAGUUGGUGUGGUAACGGCUCACCAAGCCUACGAUCAGUAACUGGUGUGAGAGCACGACCAGUCACACGGGCACUGAGACACGGGCCCGACUCCUACGGGAGGCAGCAGUAAGGAAUAUUGGUCAAUGGACGAAAGUCUGAACCAGCCAUGCCGCGUGAAGGAUGAAGGCCCUCUGGGUUGUAAACUUCUUUUAUAGGGGACGAAAAAAGGGAAUUCCUUCCCACUUGACGGUACCCUAGGAAUAAGCACCGGCUAACUCCGUGCCAGCAGCCGCGGUAAUACGGAGGGUGCAAGCGUUAUCCGGAUUCACUGGGUUUAAAGGGUGCGUAGGUGGGCAGUUAAGUCAGUGGUGAAAUCUCCGGGCUUAACCCGGAAACUGCCAUUGAUACUAUCUGUCUUGAAUAUCCUGGAGGUGAGCGGAAUAUGUCAUGUAGCGGUGAAAUGCUUAGAUAUGACAUAGAACACCGAUUGCGAAGGCAGCUCGCUACGGGAUUAUUGACAC